GAAAUGCGAUAAGUAAUGUGAAUUGCAGAAUUCAGUGAAUCAUCGAAUCUUUGAACGCACAUUGCGCCUUUUGGUAUUCCUUAGGGCAUGCCUGUUCGAGCGUCAUCUAAACCUUCAAGCCCUGCUUGGUGUUGGGUGCCUGUCCCGCCUCCGCGCGCGGACUCACCUCAAAUCCAUUGGCGGCCCCCGCGUCGGCCACGAGCGCAGCAGAAACGCGAACUCGUGAGCCCGUCCGGGCGGCUCCCAGAAGCUACACCCACCCAGUUUGACCUCGGAUCAGGUAGGGAUACCCGCUGAACUUAAGC
This 305-nucleotide unclassified non-coding RNA is filed under the name plant metagenome. RNAcentral's name for it is "partial contains 5.8S ribosomal RNA, internal transcribed spacer 2, and large subunit ribosomal RNA". The stretch from base 1 to 105 matches the Rfam family "5.8S ribosomal RNA", at positions 50 to 154 of the family's 154-position model. The record is from RNAcentral.